AUACGUAGGGGGCAAGCGUUAUCCGGAUUUACUGGGUGUAAAGGGAGCGUAGACGGAAGGCCAAGUCUGAUGUGAAAGCCCGCGGCUCAACUGCGGGACUGCAUUGGAAACUGGUCAUCUGGAGUGCAGGAGGGGUAAGCGGAAUUCCUAGUGUAGCGGUGAAAUGCGUAGAUAUUAGGAGGAACACCAGUGGCGAAGGCGGCUUUCUGGACAGUAACUGACACUGAGGUACGAAAGUGUGGGGAGCAAACAGGAUUAGAUACCCUGGUAGUCCACACCGUAAACGAUGAGCACUAGGUGUCGGGCUCGCAAGAGUUCGGUGCCGCAGUUAACGCAUUAAGUGCUCCGCCUGGGGAGUACGUACGCAAGUAUGAAACUCAAAUGAAUUGGCGGGG
RNAcentral lists this ribosomal RNA (395 nucleotides) under uncultured bacterium. RNAcentral describes it as "partial 16S ribosomal RNA". It matches the Rfam family "Bacterial small subunit ribosomal RNA", at positions 523 to 918 of the family's 1533-position model. The record is from RNAcentral.